Molecule: long non-coding RNA, 1053 nt
Filed under: Equus caballus (horse)
Lineage: Eukaryota; Metazoa; Chordata; Mammalia; Perissodactyla; Equidae
Description: lncRNA (ENSECAG00000047069.1)
Source: RNAcentral
AAGACUUGUAAGAAAGUGAGGAAAGCAGGAAGAGGCAGCAGGAGAAGUUGAAUUGUAAAGUAUGUGCAAAUUAAGCCUAGUUCAUUCAACUGGGAUCGCAGAACUGAGAUGGCCUUUCAGAGAUGCCCAGAAAUAAAGUAGCACCCUCCUUCCCCAAUGGAAGAGUCACUGGAUCGGGAAGCCCUGGGAGGAAGAUAAGCUUGAGCAAGGUGGAUGCCUCCCAUCAGCUGAAGAUCAGCCCUGAGCUAACUACUGCCAGUCCUCCUCUUUUUGCUGAGGAAGCCUGGCCCUGAGCUAACAUCCGUGCCCAUCUUCCUCUACUUUAUACGUGGGACGCCUACCACAGCAUGGCGUGCCAAGUGGUGCCAUGUCCGCACCCGCGAUCCAAACCGGUGAACCUGGGGCCGCCGAGAAGUGGAACGUACGAACUUAACCGCUGCCCCACCAGGCCAGCCCCUUUCUUGUUACUUUUUGAUGGAAGAGUAUGAACGAGUUCAAUGAAAUACCUGGAGCUAAUGAAGCAAACAUUCCUUCAUAGAAAUAGACAGACAGAUAGAUGAGCGAGAGAGAGAGAGAGAGAGAGGGAGGGCAGGGGAGAGGAGGAGAGGAAGAGGAAGGAAGACAGAGAAGUGUGUUCAAACACAUGUAUGUGUCAGGCCACAGGAUCCGUCCAGGCAUAAGGAAGCAGGAUGCUAUGGCUGGAGUUUAGGGUGUAGGAGCAGAGGGAGAGGCAGGUGAUUAGACUGGAGAGGGAGACUUCAGAGGAAGAAGUGACAAAAUUAAAAAUACUGAGCAGAGUAAUUUCUGGUACUUAGGAUGACUCCUAUGUUUAUAAACCAAGCCGUGGAGUGGCUGAUACUUUUAAAAGAAGACGGAGAGUUUGGGAAAGCAUAUAAACUCAACUUUAAUAUGUCGGUUUGAAACACCUACGAACCAUCCAGGUGACAGUGUUUGAUAUGCAGCUGGAUGGAUGAGCCUGGGACUCAGAGGAAAGAUUUGUGUUGAAGUUAAAGAUUUGGAAUGCUGAGUGCUAAGAGGAUUAUUCACUCCCAG